UCUAAUUUGGCAGAAUUAUUUAUGCUUUGAAUUUAAGCUUCAAUUAUAAGUUUAUUAACUUUUUUAGAA
This 69-nucleotide transfer RNA is filed under the name Tituria sagittata. Its description in RNAcentral is "tRNA-Leu". The record is from RNAcentral. Lineage: Eukaryota; Metazoa; Arthropoda; Insecta; Hemiptera; Cicadellidae.